CUCCAGCGCCGCCCCCAUCAUAUUUCCUUUCUUUUCUUCCAAAUUCUUCUUCUUCCUAGCGCCAUAACCCUUCUUCUUAUCUUCUUCUUCACUGAAUCACGAAGAGCUUGCCUUUUAAUUCCGUGAACUGGGUGUAGGGUCUGGUUCAAGAAAUGGGAUAGCUUGGAUUUGAAUCUGCUUGGCUUGGACCAGUCAUGGUCACCUCCUGACUGAGGGUUCAGGGUCAAAAGGUAAGCUUGGACUCAAAAAGGUGAAAUGCAGUUCUGGUGAAGAACCUUUACUUGUCCUGCGAUCCCUACACGUGGCAUCAAGGCAAAAGUCCAAGAUCGCCUUUUUUAUUCCUUUGCCCCUGAUUCAAUUUUUUCUGGAACAUUGUCAUACAACUUUGAAGAACUGCAAGGACAUCAAAUUUGUAUAAUCUGCAAAGAAACCUGGAACUGAUUGAAGUAUUCAGAUUAUUACUAUCUAGACGAAUAAUGGAGAGGGACUUAAGCUUCAACAAGGAGGAAUCAAUAUAUAGGGCCUGAAAGAUGGCAAUUUGAAGAGCUUAGCACUUGCAGAUUUGGCAAUGAAGAUGAUAAUUAAGACCUGGCACCACUCAUUCGCCUGUACUGAUAUGCUUACACCAUCAAGAUGAAGCUCUAUAAGCUCUGAAAGGUUCUGAACGAGCAUAUUUAAAUUUGGAUUCUCAAGUUUCAGUAAAGGAGUUUUGAGAAAGUAGUUGUUAGAUAAAUCAAGAGUAACCAACCUCCUCAAGCGUGAAAUCGCAAUUGGAAUUUGCAUGUCCUACAAAGCCAGCAUUUGAUAGGUUCAAAAUACUCAAAUUCAUUAUGAAGCUUGUCCAAUUCUGAUAGAAUCUGAGACUUGUUGAAGUUGUUGUAACUCAGACUCAAGUUUUGGAGAUGCUGUAGACUGAAGAAACUGCUUGAAUUGUCAAGUCCACCCGAGAUGAAUUCGUUGAUCAGGUCGAAACCAAUAAUGCGUCCCUCCUUGCAGAUCACGCCUAAUUCCCAAUAACAACAAUCGGCACUUUGAUUCCAAUAUAUACACUAGCUAGUUUUGCAGACUAAUCACUGUUGAAUAUGAGGUUUUUCUUCAGCUGGUGCAACAAAGACUGCUGAUCGCCAAAACAUUGGCCACACGCUACAAAGGUAUAUAUAUAUAGAAGCUGAGGAAAAGGAGGAUAUUGGCAUCAAGAAAAGCCAUAAAAAGGAGGACAUUUUCACUGCAAGCUGUAGAAAUCUGAAGAGGUGAUGAAAUUUUGAGUGUGGAAUGGGAGUUGGGUAGAGAAAGAAGAGAAGAAGAAGGAGCAGCAGCAAGGGCGGGAGAAGAUCAGAGAGGGAUGGGUAGCAUUGUUAUACCAUCGGCAUCUUGAAAUGGCCGGACGCUCGAAGCUUCAGAUUGAAAAUCAAACCAAUGCCAUGACUUGGCCAGUUUUGAAUGUUGAUUCCAUGGAUUGAGAUUCACGGUGAGAAAUAUUUGUAUGCAUGGAGUUGUUUUAUUUUAUAUAUCUUACAAUUUUUGAUUUCUUUUCUUUUUCGAGUUGUUGGUGAGGAUUACUUAUAACACUUCUGGUCUUCUUUU
Molecule: long non-coding RNA, 1584 nt
Organism: Alnus glutinosa
Lineage: Eukaryota; Viridiplantae; Streptophyta; Magnoliopsida; Fagales; Betulaceae
Exons: 2
Source: RefSeq, a predicted model, not a curated record